CGAACCCCGGCGCGGCAAGCGCCAAGGAAUACUUAAAGGAAUCGUCGUGCCCCGGGCGCCCGUUCGCGGUGCGUCUCGGGUGCGCUCGUACCUCGAAUGUCUAAACGACUCUCGGCAACGGAUAUCUCGGCUCUCGCAUCGAUGAAGAACGUAGCGAAAUGCGAUACUUGGUGUGAAUUGCAGAAUCCCGUGAACCAUCGAGUCUUUGAACGCAAGUUGCGCCCGAAGCCUUCUGGCCGAGGGCACGCCUGCCUGGGCGUCACGCAUCGCGUCGCCCCCUCC
This 282-nucleotide ribosomal RNA is filed under the name Veronica opaca. Its description in RNAcentral is "5.8S ribosomal RNA". The stretch from base 107 to 262 matches the Rfam family "5.8S ribosomal RNA". From Rfam's summary of the family: 5.8S ribosomal RNA (5.8S rRNA) is a component of the large subunit of the eukaryotic ribosome. It is transcribed by RNA polymerase I as part of the 45S precursor that also contains 18S and 28S rRNA. Lineage: Eukaryota; Viridiplantae; Streptophyta; Magnoliopsida; Lamiales; Plantaginaceae. The record is from RNAcentral.